Molecule: ribosomal RNA, 253 nt
Filed under: uncultured bacterium
Lineage: Bacteria
Description: partial 16S ribosomal RNA
Rfam family: Bacterial small subunit ribosomal RNA
Source: RNAcentral
GACAGAGGGUGCAAACGUUGCUCGGAAUUACUGGGCGUAAAGCGCGUGUAGGUGGAUUGGUGUGUCAGAUGUGAAAGCCCUGGGCUCAACCCAGGAACUGCACCUGAAACUACCAGUCUUGAGUGGUGGAGAGGGAAGUGGAAUUCCUGGUGUAGAGGUGAAAUGCGUAGAUAUCAGGAGGAACACCUGCGGUGUAGACGGCUUACUGGACCAUAACUGACGCUGAGGCACGAAAGCGUGGGUAGCAAACAGG